This 497-nucleotide ribosomal RNA is filed under the name uncultured bacterium. Its description in RNAcentral is "partial 16S ribosomal RNA". It matches the Rfam family "Bacterial small subunit ribosomal RNA", at positions 28 to 507 of the family's 1533-position model. The record is from RNAcentral.
GAUGAACGCUGGCGGCGUGCCUAAUACAUGCAAGUCGAGCGAACAGACGAGGAGCUUGCUCCUCUGACGUUAGCGGCGGACGGGUGAGUAACACGUGUAUAACCGACCUAUAAGACUGGGAUAACUUCGGGAAACCGGAUCUAAUACAGGAUAAUAUAUUGAACCGCAUGGUUCAAUAGUGAAAGACGGUUUUGCUGUCACUUAUAGAUGGAUCCGCGCCGCAUUAGCUAGUUGGUAAGGUAACGGCUUACCAAGGCAACGAUGCGUAGCCGACCUGAGAGGGUGAUCGGCCACACUGGAACUGAGACACGGUCCAGACUCCUACGGGAGGCAGCAGUAGGGAAUCUUCCGCAAUGGGCGAAAGCUUGACGCAGCAACGCCGCGUGAGUGAUGAAGGUCUUCGGAUCGUAAAACUCUGUUAUUAGGGAAGAACAAAUGUGUAAGUAAAUAUGCACGUCUUGACGGUACCUAAUCAGAAAGCCACGGCUAACUACGUG